UUAGUGGGCUAAUAGGCCCAAUUACAGCAGUGCUUCCAUUUUAUACAAGACAGUCCAGGGUUUUCUGCCCCAACCCUCACAGGAAUCAGUUUAAAGCCAUCAUGAUCCAGGUCACCAUCCAAUCACUUUGCCAAUCUUUCUAAGAUGUAACCCAUCUCACAUCAGCAGUCCAUUAUCAAAAUAACUAAGACUGUAGUCCCAUAUUUUUCCUAUUGACCAUUUGUAUACCCAAUCAUUCAUUUGCAGUAUUCUUUCUCUUUCUGAUCCUCUUCCCUGGGCUGGAAGGAAGGAUGAAAACAACGCCUGAGCAUCAGGGUUUGAGCUUCCUUUCUAGGUCUUCAAAUCCAUGAGGAUAUGAUUUCACAGCAGCAAAGAGGCCCUGCUCCCUCUCUUGAAUGUAUGAUCUCUGCUGUCACUCCUUGACAGCACUAUCCACUGUUUGGGGAAGAAGAGCAUGUCCAAGAAUACAGCAGCAGCUACAGAUGACCUCUCCUAGCAGCUUCAUGUAGAUGUUAAAGAGGAGCAGAGAGAGUACCGAACCCUGCAGCACCCCACAAUUCAGGGGGCAAGGACAGGACCUCUCACCCUCAAUCAACACCAACUGAAACCAGCCACUGAGGAAGGAAGAGAACCAGCUCAGUUUAGUGCUGCCCAUUCCCAACUCCCUCAGCCAGUCCAGAAGGAUACCAUAGUCAAUGGUACUGAAGGCUGCUGAGAGGUCAAGAAGAGCAAGGAUGGACAACUAUCUGUAUCCCAUUCUCUCCAAAAGUCAUCAAAAACUGACCAAUGCUGUUUCCAUCCCAUACCCAGGCCUGA
Non-coding RNA from Python bivittatus (Burmese python), 816 nucleotides. Lineage: Eukaryota; Metazoa; Chordata; Lepidosauria; Squamata; Pythonidae. The record is from RefSeq and is a predicted model, not a curated record.